Molecule: long non-coding RNA, 2760 nt
Filed under: Homo sapiens (human)
Lineage: Eukaryota; Metazoa; Chordata; Mammalia; Primates; Hominidae
Description: HSALNT0279012
Source: RNAcentral
CGGUUUUCCCUCUCUGGGGGAAUUCAAGCCCUGCCUGACAUAUAAGAGUUGUAAUUUGGACAUGGAAGGCCUCUGAGGGUCCUUCCAGUUGUGCUGUGCCAGGAUGUUUAUCCACAAGGUUGUUGCAUACACGGACAACAUCAGCUGAAGCUACAAACACUGCAGAGAACACUUCUGGUUUUAAACCCAUCACUGCACCCCAGAUGUCCACACCAGGAUAUGAAAUGUCCCAGCAUGUGGGAGAAGCAGGAAAAACUGGUCACCUUAUGGAUCUCAGCAGGAGACCCCACAGCCCCUCUGGGACACUGAUCCAUGCAUGGGGUGCUGUGAUGUCUUCCCUGUCUUCAGACCUAGUGUCUCGAAGUUCACCUGUAUGUCUUACCCUCCAGGCUGCUCACAGAAUGACCUUCCAAACCCAGAGGCACCGCUGGCAUGGAUGACAGUUCUAGCAUCUGAACCCUGCCCAAGACGGGGCUCCUCAGCAUCCUGAGCUGUCCUCAAAAUAACACCAGGCUGCGCACUCAGGACAUCUUGUGAAGGCCAAUCAAAAUAAUGCCAGUGGGAAUGCCUCGUCCCGAGGGAUCCCUCUAUAAACUUAAAGGAUGAUGGUUCAAAUGUUUCCGCAAUAAUGAAGGGACUCAAAAGGAACCUACACUCAAAACAGCUGGGGGAAAGUCCAGAAGUUCAAUUACACUCUGUUCACUUAUGGAAGGGCAGGAGAAAACCUCAUUUAUUUUAGCAUUUUAUGUGGUUUCUGCAAAGUUCUUCUCUGUACCAGGCGAAGAAAUAUAAUACUACCUCAUAUUUGCAAAGGGUUUUCCAGUUAACAAAAGACUUUUGCCACCUGCUGGGUUGUGAAUUCUACCGCUAGCCUGGGGUGCUGGCCGAGAGGGUGUGUCCUGGAGUUGAGUGUAGGCUGAAAGAGGAGGUGACUUUCCCAAGGCCACCAAGGUCCAGGCAGAUCCAGGGCUUUUGCCAUGACUGCUGGACAAUCCAAGCUCCUUGGUUUCUAGGAUGUUAAGAGCCAAGUUAAUGAGGCUUUAAAUGCCCAUAUUAAAAGAUGGUGACAGAAGAGGACAAAUUCAAUGUCAUAAUGCAUUUGAGGCCCUGAGAUCAUGAGAGUGAUAUUUGCCAGUCAGGGGUCUUCCUGAAAUCUCUGUCCUGCCGUCUCCCACUCUCUUCCUGCCUCCUCACCUGCUCCUCCCCAGCCACCAUUGCUGCUUCCUUCUCACCACCCCGAGCCCUGGACACUGAUGCCCUGGGCCUGGUCCGUGGACUUCCCUCCUCGAUGCUGACGCCUGGGUGCCCUCCUCAGGCUCCACACACCCUAGUCACUCCCAGUUGAUAAAUGGAAAUAAAAUCCUAAACCCCUCAACUGACCGAACAGACCCCCUCUUGGCCAAGGAGUCCCCAGGGAAACCUUGAAAACAGAGUUCCCAGCCAGGAAGAGACGGGAGGUCUGUUAUGCCAAAGUGUGUCCCUUCUUCAUUAACCUUUAACCAGAAUGCUUUCCUAAGGAGUAAGCAGAAACCAGCUCUCGAUGACUCUUUCCAAGGAACGGAUGACUCCUUCUUUCAUCACCUUUAGCCAGUCCUCUGAGUCUGCGCCUGAGCUCCUCUCCCUCUUUGCAGAUGUGACAGUUGGCCAGUUUCACAAUGCACCCCUUCCUGACGAGAGACCACCAGCCAUGGAGGGGCUCAGGCCAGUCUUCAGGGGAUGCCCAGUGACAGCUUCCGUGUGCUGUGGUUCACCUUUUGACAUUAGAGGGCCAAAAUCUCCACCUUCGGGUCACCUUAAUGCUGCCAGUUUUUGAACAUGUGAUCCCUGAAGAGUGCCUGUUUCCAGCUUAUGUCAGAGGCUACGCUUCCCAGCCUGUGGAUGGCCACUUGCAGGCUGCAGCCCUUUACGAGAAAGAAAGCUCUUCCAAAUCUCUGAACCUCAUGGUUCUUCAGUUGACACAGGAGAUCCCUGCAGCACUCCCCUCUGUCCUUGGCUGGGGGCUUUCACACCACUGGGCAUGUUUGUAGACUGGCAGGGCAAGCCCAUAUUGAGCCCAGAGCACUCAGCAAAUGGCCCAGGUGCCACCUGUGAGUCCCAAUCUUCUUUGCCCUAAGGGAGUCGGGCUGCUCCUCCCCCAUGGUUUCCCUUGCAGUGGCACCUUGGGGACCUUGGCUCUGGAGGGCAAGAGAUGAAGGAAGACCAGCCCCGGUGGACGGCGUGGGGAGAAAUUAAUCCAAAGGAAAAUGCCAUGAGUAAUCGGAUUUCCAGUGGAAAUGGAAGCGGCGCCUGAGUCAUUGAGAAGCUUCCCGAUUAGGAGCCAUCAGGCCCUGAUUCAUAUCAGACAUAAAGUGAUGCAAUUAGAAACCCUCACACCUAAUUACCCAUCAGAGCAAACGUGCCGUCGUGUGACACUGAGCCCACGGAGGUGUUGAAAGAGCCGUCACCCGAAGGAAACGAAAGCAUUGAGGGUCGUCUCUCAAGACAGAGCAUUUCAGAAACAGACCAUGGCCGGGGAAGGGGCCACAUGAGCUGCCAACAGCCCGGUGAGCACCCAGUAUUUCAGUCCUCUCUUCACUCAUUGAGCACAUCUGGCCCGACCAUGGGCUGCGGACAAGAUGUGAGAUUUUAGGAAAAAGAAUAAUUUUCCCUCGACCCAUCUGAGUUUUCAGCUGUGAUGCCUGUAACAAAAGAAAGAACAGCAAGAGAAAAAUAAACCCGGCUGAGUGGGGUGGCUCACGCCUGUAAUCCCAGCACUUUGGG